AGGAUCCAAUCGGAUGUAGAGGGAAUUGUCGGAGAGUGAUGGGCUGUGUGAGCAGCCGGAUAAGGCGGCGAAACGUAUGCUGGCCGCCGCAGUGGUCCACCGUAAGGAGGCUGAUUGGCGCCGGAGAUGGGAUAGGACGGACAACGGCGCACGGAGUAGCCAAAUUCACUGCAUAGCUGGCACUUCCCAUUGUACCCGCGAGAUUGGCCAUUGUUGGAGUAACUACUUCGUCCGGAGGAUGAACCACGGCUACCACGGCCGCGCCCGCGGCCACCGGAACGGUUACGAACGAACUGCUAUCCGGCGACGAAAGCAGCCAACGGAGCCAAAUCAGUGCGGCGGAGGAGGCCGGCGCACGAGCAGUAAGCUAAGGUUGGGCGUAUGGAUGUUAUUUUUGCUGCGAGUUUGCAUUGGAUGACCACCCUGAGAGGAUGAAGGUGGCGGCAUAGUGGGUGUAGCGGCGGCGGGGGCCGCUGGCGGUACCGUAAGAGGCGCUGGUGGCUCGGGCGUUGGCGCCGGCAGUGCGUCCGGUGAAGGAUCGCUAGUGGGAGCGGUGGCAGGUACUGGUGGAGGCAGCGGAAGGACUUCUAGGGUGACCGAAAUGGGUACGGGGUGGAGACUCGGGGUUAGACAAUUUGGAGAACGGGAAGAUAUCUUCAUGGAAGGUGACAUCACGCGAGACGAAGAUUUUAGACGUUGAGGGAUCAAAGCAUAGAUAUGCGCUUUGAGUAGAUGA
RNAcentral lists this long non-coding RNA (736 nucleotides) under Nicotiana benthamiana. RNAcentral describes it as "long non-coding RNA (NBEN_LNC028587)". Lineage: Eukaryota; Viridiplantae; Streptophyta; Magnoliopsida; Solanales; Solanaceae. The record is from RNAcentral.